AACGAACGCUGGCGGCAGGCCUAACACAUGCAAGUCGAACGCCGUAGCAAUACGGAGUGGCAGACGGGUGAGUAACACGUGGGAACGUACCCUUCGGUUCGGGAUAACUCAGGGAAACUUGAGCUAAUACCGGAUACGUCCGAGAGGAGAAAGAUUUAUCGCCGAGGGAUCGGCCCGCGUCUGAUUAGCUUGUUGGUGAGGUAACGGCUCACCAAGGCGACGAUCAGUAGCUGGCUGAGAGGAUGAUCAGCCACAUUGGGACUGAGACACGGCCCAAACUCCUACGGGAGGCAGCAGUGGGGAAUAUUGGACAAUGGGCGCAAGCCUGAUCCAGCCAUGCCGCGUGAGUGAUGAAGGCCCUAGGGUUGUAAAGCUCUUUUACCCGGGAAGAUAAUGACUGUACCGGGAGAAUAACGCCCCGGCUAACUUCGUGCCAGCCGCCGCCGUAAU
This 450-nucleotide ribosomal RNA is filed under the name uncultured bacterium. Its description in RNAcentral is "bacterial SSU rRNA". It matches the Rfam family "Bacterial small subunit ribosomal RNA", at positions 29 to 524 of the family's 1533-position model. The record is from RNAcentral.